ACUCCUACGGGAGGCAGCAGUGGGGAAUAUUGGACAAUGGGCGCAAGCCUGAUCCAGCCAUGCCGCGUGAGUGAUGAAGGCCCUAGGGUUGUAAAGCUCUUUCACCGGUGAAGAUAAUGACGGUAACCGGAGAAGAAGCCCCGGCUAACUUCGUGCCAGCAGCCGCGGUAAUACGAAGGGGGCUAGCGUUGUUCGGAUUUACUGGGCGUAAAGCGCACGUAGGCGGACUAUUAAGUCAGGGGUGAAAUCCCGGGGCUCAACCCCGGAACUGCCUUUGAUACUGGUAGUCUUGAGUUCGAGAGAGGUGAGUGGAAUUCCGAGUGUAGAGGUGAAAUUCGUAGAUAUUCGGAGGAACACCAGUGGCGAAGGCGGCUCACUGGCUCGAUACUGACGCUGAGGUGCGAAAGCGUGGGGAGCAAACAGGAUUAGAUACCCCAGUAGUCCCAUGA
RNAcentral lists this ribosomal RNA (449 nucleotides) under uncultured organism. RNAcentral describes it as "partial 16S ribosomal RNA". It matches the Rfam family "Bacterial small subunit ribosomal RNA", at positions 335 to 800 of the family's 1533-position model. The record is from RNAcentral.